This 5244-nucleotide long non-coding RNA is filed under the name Homo sapiens (human). RNAcentral describes it as "HSALNT0099498". The record is from RNAcentral. Lineage: Eukaryota; Metazoa; Chordata; Mammalia; Primates; Hominidae.
UUUGCUUUGAUAAAGGAUUAAUUCAAAUUUUGGAAUGAAAAGAAGAGAUUUUGAAGCCCUAAAACUGUACUGUGUGACAAAACUCCUGUUCUUGGGAUAUGGUGGCAGAAGUAAGGGAAAGUGUCAGAAAAAGUCCCGCAAGGUGAGAAAAACUGAAAAAGAGACCCCUUUCCUAUAGAGGCUCACGAAGGGGAAAUUGCAACUGUGCGACCCUGUCUGCUAGCUUUCUCUGUCACUUCAUCCCCCAUUCCUGUUGCUGUGUGCACUUUUAUCCAACCCUCUUAAUGUCCAUGGCUGCGCUACCAGCAAAAUCUAACCCCAUCUGCUUGGCUAAGCUUCUUGCGCUCACCUAUACCUGAGGAGUACGACAUCAGGCUUCAGGGCUUAUUGAAGUCAUUACUCACAUCAUUGCACUAAUCACAAACAGAAGUGAAAGUUGUAAAUUGUAUAUAAUUACAUUUCAUAGAGAAAAAAGUAGAUUUAAAAAUGGCAAUUAAUAUUCUUAAUAGCCAAAAGUUAUUGCUAAUUAAUAAGAAAAACAUAAGCACUCCAAUUGAAAAAAAAUGAGCAAAGGUCAUAAAGACAUAAAACUCGCCUGUGGAAACAUACGUAGAGGAAACACAGAAUUAGUGAGUGUGUGUAUGGAAAUAAAUGGAAGGAUAAUGCUUGCUACCCAGUGUGGGCUUUGGGGGUAGAUCUACCUGGACUGAGUUCUGGAUUCACUAUUUACUAGCUCCAUGACCUUCAGCAAAGUAACCUCUCUAAGCCUUUGUUUUUAUCUGUAAAAUAGGGAUACUUAUUUUCCCUGCCUUGAGGGGUUAUUGUGAGGAUAAAAGAAAAUAAUUCUGUAAAGGGCUUAGUAAAGUGCCUGGUGCAGAGAAAUUUUUCAGUGCAGAUUAGCAAUUGUCACUGCUAGUAGUAUAUUUGCAUUGAUAACAAUUAGUAAUUUAACAUCUCACUGAAAUCAAAGAAAUGCAAUUAAAACAACAAAUACAUAUUAUUUGUUACUUAUCAGAUUGGAAAACAGGUGAAAAGAUUGACAGUAACCACUGUUGGUUAGAUGUGGAGAGAUGGGUUCUCUUGUGCAAUUCUGGGAUGGUAGGACCUGAUGCCCCAUUUCUGCAGGGCAAUUUGGCAAUAUACAUUAACGUUGAACAUUCUGAUAGUUUUUGACCCAGUCAUUCUUCUCUCAGAAACUUAUUCCUGGGAGAUAACUGAACAAAUGCACAAUAAUGAAUAUAUAAGAAUGUUUAUCCUGGCAUUUUUUUUUAUAGAAACAAAAAUUCAGAAGCAACUUAAACAUCCUUCAGUGAGAUUGACUAAUAAGUCCUGCUUCAUUUUUAUGACAGAAUGCUACUACUAAUAGCAGUGUUCUAGAUUUUCAUCCACCAUCAUGGAUAAAGCUCUCCGUCAUGUGGAUGGAAUCACUGCGGUAGGAGGAUUCCUGAGGCAUUACCUGGAUAGUCUCAUCUGGCUGGACAUGCAGGAGAACUGGGAGACUGCCGAGACUGCCACGUGGGGUGACUUGAGGGAUCUUUGACACUCUCUGUCUUAAUCUGUUUUGUGUUGCUAUAACAGAAUACACAGACUAAGUAAUUUAUAAAGAAAGGAAAUUUACUUCUCACAGUUUUGGAGGCUGAGAAGUCCAAGACUGAGGGGCUGGCAUCUGACGAGGGCCUUCUUGCUGCUUCAUUCCACGGCAAAAUGGCAAAGAGAAGGUGAGAGAGAGCAAGAGGGUGAACUCGCAGGGUCUGGCUUUUUUAUAAUGGCAUGGAUCCAUUCAUGAGGGUGGAGCUGUCGUGAUGCAACUCCUCCCAUUAGGCCCGACCUCCCACCACCAUUGCAUUGUGGGUUAAGUUUCCAACUCAUGAUUUCUGGGGGACACAUUCAAACCAUAGCACCCUGUGCAACCUACCCUGAACAACGCUAUUAUCCAUCUCUUCUUUUCCUGGUUUGAACUUCCCACUAUAAAUAAAAAUUCCAAAAUGCCUUACAUAAGCCUUGUCCUAUGAUGUGCACCACAUUUAGCAAACACUGUUCCGUUUGAGCCGCACAACAACCCUUCAAGGCAGGCGAAGUGAGACUGAUUAUCCUCAUUUUACAGAUGAGAAGAAAGGCUCAAAGGGACGGUGGGACUUGACUGAGGACCCAGCACCUCCUGGACCUGAAUCAAGGCCCUCUGUCCCGCUGCUUUUGUUGUUGUUUACCCUGCAACUUCACAGCCCUUCAGAAGGCCCUGGACAUCAUGUGCAAGCUCCGUGGAUGGCCUGAGAUUCAUCCUUCCAAGUUGUUUUCUGACUGAGAGGCAACAUUUUAAAUUGUGAUCCCCCCUUACCCCACCACACACACUGAAACAAAAGUUUCAAGAAGUCAUUACCACACAAUGACUCAGAUAUGUUCUAGUCUAGUCUGUCUAUUCCAUUCCAUUCCAGUCUCUUUCCAAACGAAAAUAAAAGGAAGGAAAUGCUGCAUGCGACUUGGUAAGUUAAUUUCAGGACACCUUGGGACUGCUUCCUGCUGCAUGAGGCAUCAGCACACAGCAGGGGAUAUUUUGCAUUCCUGUGUGCACCGUGGGUUAGACAGGCUGCUUGGCCCUAAGUGGAGAAUGGAACUCCAGUAGAAAGGCUGAGAUGCACUGCAAGUAACCACUGCAGAAAGGAGAGGAUGCCCACAGGCAGGCUGAAGUGGACCCGUGUGGAAGGAACACUUCAAGACCACUGGCCAAGAGACUUCCUUCAUUUUUAUCCCUUCCUGUUUUUCGCCUGUGCUGAGGAUUCACCACCAGUGUGGGGAGCCUCUGACUGUAAAAGGAAAGCUGACUCUGGCUCCUUCGUGUUUUCUGUUAAGUUGGGGCCUAAGUUUUUCUGCCAGCCUUUGCGGAGGAAAUGCAGCUUCCCUGGCACACUGCCCGGUCAAGGGACGUUGAAUCCAUUGCAAUCAGCAGUUGAAGAUCCACACUACAGGCCAUGUUCUUAAAAUAAGUGGCUCCAGGACUUCCAAGAGGCAGAAGGGGCUUCAGCUGGCCAUGGGCAGGAUCCAAGUGGAGCUUCAUCCCUGCAGAGCAAUGCCUGGCUCUCAGCGGAGGCAGUCUGGAGCAGGGCUUCUACCCUUUUCAGCUCAUAGAUUACUUUGGAAUCUGAUGAACACUGGGAGCCUUCUCCUUAGAAGAACAUACAUAUGCACGAGAAUGAGACAAUUACAUAACAUUCCUUGGGUUUCACAGAUGCUGAAGCCAAUGACUUGCUUGAAGCCUGGAAGAGGGUGUUGACCUGGAGAAUCCUAAAGGCCAAAAUUUAGAGAAAAUGGUGCCAGUAAAUGAAUUCACAAGGAGAAAUGCUUCCUUGCCAACUCACUUCUCCAGAUUAUUGAGUGCAUCUAUCUGUUUGCUUUUGGCUUCACGCAAUUGGCCCUCUUCAGUUCCGUACUCUUUCCUAAAUACCUUGCAAGUUUUCCUCUUCUCUCAUGCCAUUUAUAAUAUGCUGACGCCUGAUUAGAGGAAGGAAGGACUCAGCUGCACUUGCACUGGGGGAAGGGCCACUUACAGGAAGCCUACCUGGGGCUGAGCUGGGUCUCACUGCCUCCUAGACCUAAGGGCCCCAGCUUUUCCCUCAUCUCUUGUUGCAGCCACCACUUGUUCUAGAUCUGCAUCCAUAUCUGUAAAAUGGGGGUGAUAAUACCUUCCCAUAAAGUCACUGUGAGGAUUAAAUGUCCGGCACAAUAUUUGAUGCAUAGUGGUGCUGAAUAAUAUUUAUUGUCAUUACUAUCAUUAUUAUUGGCUGCUACCUUCAUUUUGAAAUUCUAUCCAUGAGCUACAUUAAUUAACCUGCAUUCAGUGUCAGGAUGUAUUUCUUAAUUUAGAUUUUUAAAUUUUUAGAGCAUGUGGCUAACCAUGAAUGUUGCAUUUUCUCAGUACCUAUUUAUUCAUAUGAAACUAUAGGUCUGGGCUCAGAGUUCAUCAAUAUUUAUAGAGAAGGCUCUACCUGUUGAGCACUGUGCUAGGCAUCCCCAGAGAUGCUGGCCUACUUCAUGCCUUAGGCAGCCCCACACGUGAGCAUUACUAACCCAUUGCUGCUAUGAGAGCAUUCAGAAAGAAAGCAGUUUAAGUUGCUUGACUAAACUGGUAGAGUUGAAAUUAAACUCUGUCUCUUCAUGUUACUGGACUGCUUGGAUAUCUACUUUCAGAAAGACUACAGCUUGAUAUAAACAUUGUAGUUUUGCUCAUGGAAAACUUACAGUAAAUCUGGGCUGUUUCAACACAACUGUCAAACUGUUCACCUACAGCUGUAUUUUCUCUUGCAAUGGGUGAAUAAGGUACAAUGAUGGUUGUACAGACCAUUACUAUUAUUACCUGUUAAUUUACAUUUAAACAGAUUUAUAAUUUCUGGCCCUGAUUUCCAGUCCAGUAUACAGCAAAAAUCCAUAUUUUAAACUAAAAAUAAUGUGCUUUUCAUAAAAUCAUAAAGAAACCCACCUGGCUAUUGUCUGGGGACUUGCGAGAAGGAUCCUUUGUAGUUUUCUUCCAUGUCUUCUAAGGAAUAGUUUGGAACACAUAGUAAAUAGUCAAUUAAUACCAAAGGGCAUUUGCAAAACUAUCAACUCCCAGUUUAUAUAAAGGACCAGCCACCAGAAUUAUACAUGAAUUAAAAAGUUAGCACACCAUAGUCAGAGAAGGACAACUUGGGAAUAGUUGUGUAACAGCCGUGAGGGUAAGCGAAGGGUCUGUCUACCUGUGCCUUCCCAGAAUACUGCCUCUCUUCUGGUCUGCUUUGGGAACAGUCAACAGGAAAGAAAAAGUAGACAGAUAGAGUCAGUGCGCUGAAUAAAAGAAGAUUCUAGAUCACUACAAGAGGCUUGUCAUUUGAGGCAAAGUGUCUGAGAGAGGAAGGUUUUUAUGGCCUCAAUGGGGAGACUGGUCACUGAUAAAGCGUUCUGGAUCUUUUGUGGGCCGGAAGAUAAGUUGAGUUUUGGUUAAUGUUUAAUGAUGCAGAACAAAAGUCAUAAAUAGUCCAUGAGAAAUAAGAGCACAAAUGAUUGGGAUUGGACAGUUUGCUUAUUCAGCUGCAAAAUGUGCUGUGUUCUAUUCUUGUCAUCCCCCCAUGGUAUAACAAAAUGCAGUGUGACAAGGAAUAUAAAUGUCCCCUAAUGCAUGGGCAGCUUUUUCUGUUCUAAGAGAGUCAGCAUGAGUCACUCAGCAGGUGAAAAAUGUUUAAUUUAGAGAAAAUAGGAUAAAUAGCAAUAGCUUCC